This 253-nucleotide ribosomal RNA is filed under the name uncultured bacterium. RNAcentral's name for it is "partial 16S ribosomal RNA". It matches the Rfam family "Bacterial small subunit ribosomal RNA", at positions 524 to 776 of the family's 1533-position model. The record is from RNAcentral.
UACAGAGGGUGCGAGCGUUGUCCGGAAUCACUGGGCGUAAAGGGCGCGUAGGUGGUGGCUUAAGCGUGCGGUGAAAGCUCGGGGCUCAACUCCGAGUCGGCCGUGCGAACUGGCAAGCUUGAGCGUAGUAGAGGCAGGUGGAAUUUCGGGUGUAGCGGUGGAAUGCGUAGAUAUCCGAAAGAACACCGGUGGCGAAGGCGGCCUGCUGGGCAGUGGCUGACACUGAGGCGCGACAGCGUGGGGAGCAAACAGG